Non-coding RNA from Microcebus murinus (gray mouse lemur), 1856 nucleotides. The record is from RefSeq and is a predicted model, not a curated record. NCBI's taxonomy places the organism in Eukaryota, Metazoa, Chordata, Mammalia, Primates, Cheirogaleidae.
CACACACACACACACACACACACGUGCACGUACAUACUAGCACUCAGAAUAAGAGGUGAGAGUUAGGUUGAGGUAAUGAGACCACAACAUGGGACAAAUGGUUUAACUAUGCUUUUCAGACUUAUAAAAUUUGUGCUAGAAUCAAACAAACUGCUCAUGAAAGAUUGAAAUACAAACGGCCUGUGUUUUAUUCAAGGUUAAUCUGGUAGCUCACCUCUUACAUACUGUUGCAGCCUCUGGACUAAUGCGAAUUAACAGGCAUGAAUUGAAAACCAUUGCUUCUUUGACUUAAAGAUUAUGAGAAUAAAUACAGUCCCAAUUAGUGAUAAGCAGUGUUGAACGAUGGGGUCAGGAAGUGGCCUGUAGAGCGCUGCUCCUGAAAUGCCAAAGGAGGUAAAUUUCCUUUUGUAUCUAGUCCGAUGGAAAGCUCCUCCCACACCUCAGUUUUAAUCGAGAAGAAUCCUUUUCUUCACCUGUGAGUACACUUUAUUGAUUCUAAAAUCAAUAAAGGGUCUAACCAUAGAAAUCUUUACUGGAACCAUCAGUGAUUGAUUAAUGUUAGACAAUUGUUUUCAAAACAUUUUGACUAGCUAUUAGCGUUCAGUCUAACAAAGGUGAGCCUGACAGCUUGCCACUGUGUGUCACUUGUGGACUAUACUACAGUGUUUACCAUUUUGAACUUUGAACUCGGGAUAUCAUCUCGUCAUGCCACCUGGAGUGCUGCAUGCAGUUUGGGCAGCUGCAUCCCAAGACAGACAUAACAGCAAUGAAGAAAGUCCAAGGUAAAUCACUGAAAAAGGAAAGAGAAGAUUCUGCACUAAAGAUGCAGUAAGAGGAUCAGACUGUGUUUAGGAAUAAAUGUGUUAAGAGAUAUGAUGAACAGGAGGAUGUGGUUGAAGUCUAGAAGUAAACAAGUUAAUCAAAUCUAGAAAAGGUAGAAAAGGAUUUUCUAUUUUCGAGAGGUACCUUUGGGAGUUCCCCAAAACAGCAGAAGUUUGAGGUUUCCACAUUAGGUAGUUAAACACAGAUAUAGACUGAAAAUAUACAUUGAUUAAAGAAUUUUUAAGUAAAGUUGAGAACAUGGCAAGCAUAAGAAGUUGUUCAGAGGAAGCCAGUGGCAUUCAUGCCCGCGUCCAGCUUUGUGAGGCUGACAUCACGAUGGGUGACCACCGUGUCCCAUCACAGAACAUCUUUGAUGACACUGUCAGAAAUGGAGAUCUGAGUGUGUUUGCCGCAGCGUGACGUUGCUUAUGUACUUAGGUGCUUUAUCUCCUCCUUUGAUGCUAUGGUUUGAAUGUUCUUGUCCCCUCCAAAACUCACGUUCAAAUUUAAUUGCCAGUAUAAACGGUAUUGGGAAGUGGGACCUUUAAGAUGUGAUUAGGCCACAAGGGUUCAGCCUUCACGAAUGGAUUAAAGAUACUAUAAAAAAGGCUUUGGGGAGUGGGUUCUCUCUCUUUGCCCUUCCUCCAUGUGAACCUGAGGCCUUCCUCCUCUCCAGAGAACAAAGCAUCUUGGAAUCAGAAUUGCCAAACUUGCCAAUGCCUUAAUAUUGAACUUCCCAGCCUCCAGAACUGGUGUAUGUGUGUGUGGAAGACUGCAGUCAUUGGGACAUCUGACGUAAGAAGCUGCUGAGCGUGCUGGCAGCAAGGUGGUAACGACUCGGCACAAGUGAAUGAGAAUGAUGAAGCUGGGCAUGCCUGUUGCUGUGCUUUACUUUUCCUGUUGACCUUGAGGAAGUUCACAGUUGCAAGUAGGCAUUUUAGCAUUUACCUGCUGAGUUUCAAGUGCUUAGCAUGCUGUGACUUCAUGUGAUGUGGUAAAUUUGGCGAGUACUUCGGACUACUUUGGCAGUUAAG